Molecule: ribosomal RNA, 460 nt
Filed under: uncultured bacterium
Lineage: Bacteria
Description: partial 16S ribosomal RNA
Rfam family: Bacterial small subunit ribosomal RNA
Source: RNAcentral
CCUACGGGCGGCAGCAGUGAGGAAUAUUGGUCAAUGGACGAGAGUCUGAACCAGCCACGUAGCGUGAAGGAUGACUGACCUAUGGGUUGUAAACUUCUUUUAUAUGGGAAUAAAAUGUUCCACGUGUGGGAUUUUGUAUGUACCAUAUGAAUAAGGAUCGGCUCACUCCGUUCCAGCAGCCGCGGUAAUACGGAGGAUCCGAGCGUUAACCGGAUUUCGUGGGUUUAAAGGGAGCGUAGGUGGAUUGUUAAGUCAGUUGUUAAAGUUUGCGGCUCAACCGCAAAAUUGCAGUUGAAACUGGCAGUCUUGAGUACAGUAGAGGUGGGCGGAAUUCGUGGUGUAGCGGUGAAAUGCUUAGAUAUCACGAAGAACUCCGAUUGCGAAGGCAGCUCACUGGACUGCAACUGACACUGAGGCUCGAAAGUGUGGGUAUCAAACAGGAUUAGAUACCCGAGUAGUC